RNAcentral lists this ribosomal RNA (460 nucleotides) under uncultured bacterium. Its description in RNAcentral is "partial 16S ribosomal RNA". It matches the Rfam family "Bacterial small subunit ribosomal RNA", at positions 338 to 795 of the family's 1533-position model. The record is from RNAcentral.
CCUACGGGAGGCUGCAGUGAGGAAUAUUGGUCAAUGGACGAGAGUCUGAACCAGCAACGUAGCGUGAAGGAUGAAUGCUCUAUGGGUUGUAAACUCCUUUUAUAAAGGAAUAAAACGAGGCACGUGUGCCUUUUUGCAUGUACUUUAUGAAUAAGGAUCGGCUAACUCCGUGCCAGCAGCCGCGGUAAUACGGAGGAUCCGAGCGUUAUCCGGAUUUAUUGGGUUUAAAGGGAGCGUAGAUGGGUUGUUAAGUCAGUUGUGAAAGUUUGCGGCUCAACCGUAAAAUUGCAAUUGAUACUGGCAGUCUUGAGUACAGGUGAGGUAAGCGGAAUUCGUGGUGUAGCGGUGAAAUGCUUAGAUAUCACGAAGAACCCCGAUUGCGAAGGCAGCUUACUAAACUGUGACUGACAUUGAUGCUCGAAAGUGUGGGUAGCAAACAGGAUUAGAUACCCCGGUAGUC